CUUUGCCUGCAAAAACGCUCAAUCGCUUGUGACGGCCGGCAACCUUGAUUUUCGCUACUCGUCAGAGGGAAAUUGUGAAUUUGUUUCGUUUUUUAGUGAUAAUUCUUUGACCUCAAAUUAAUUCAAGUUACCGCAAUGUACUUACAGUGUAAUUAAUACACAGCUCUGUGUCGUGGGCAUUAUACAUGUUUUGAGAAGGCGUGCUUGAACCGAGACCCCAGAGUCAUGGCUGCUUUCAACUUCUACCUCUUUGUAGUGCUUUAUUGACUUUUUUUAGAUCUACUCAGCACCUCUGAGUUUACAAUUAUCUACACUCUACAAGUUGAGUAACCGUAAUCCAUCAUGAUGUACACGGGGACAACAGCGGAGCAGGACACUCGCUUCAGUGACAAAGAAAAGAAACUUCUCAAGCAAAUGAAGUUUGGAGAUGCACUCACCAGAAGAGUUGACAUGUCCAAAGUCAAAUUUGACACCAUCAAACCCUGGAUCAGUCAAAAAAUCACCAAACUCCUGGGAAUGGAAGACGAUGUCGUGGUGGAAUUUGUGUUUAACCAGCUUGAAGCAGAAAAGUUUCCAGACCCCAAGAAAAUGCAGAUCAAUCUGACAGGUUUUCUGAAUGGAAAAAAUGCUCGUGUUUUCAUGACUGACCUUUGGGAGCUCCUUCUAUCUGCCCAAGAUUCAGUGACAGGCAUUCCGGAGCAAUUUAUUGAAAAGAAAAAAGAAGAAAUUAAAAAGAGAAUGGAAGAGCAAGAGAAGAUAAAUGACAUUGCCAAGAAGUUGGAGAAAGAGCGUGAAUCCAGGGAUAAAAAGAAAGAUAAGAGGAGGAGUCAUUCCAGGGAGCGACACCGAUCAAAGGACAAGGAUCGCCACCGCGAUAGGGACCGAGAUGACAAGAAGAGUCGCAGCAAAGAUCACAAGAGAUCUCGAUCCAGAUCCAGGAGUAUUUCGAAGAAGGAAGAUAAGGCAAAGUUAGAUAACGGCACUGCUCGGAGUUCCUCUCCUCAAAAUGAAAAUGGAAAAAGUGAUGAUGCUGAGGGCAAAAAAGGAAAAGGCGAUGAUAAAAAAUCUACCUCACGAUCCAGAUCACGGUCUAAAUCUGGUGACAGAAGCGAAUCAGGGUCGCCAGUGAAGGUGAAAAAAGAGAAUCGAUCCAGGUCAAGGUCUGGAUCUUCUGGCUCAGAUUCUGCCCGGAAUGGUGAUGCUGACAACGGCAAUCACAAAAAAUGCUCUCCAUCGCACUCAAGAUCUCGCUCAAGGUCCAAAUCGAAGUCUGAUCGCCGUGACAAAUCUCGCAGCUCAAGUAGUAGUUCCUCAUCAUCGAAGCACUCUGACAAAGCUUCCAAGGACAGUGACUUUGAAAUUCGCAAGAAAGAAAAUAGCAUCCAAAAAAAGCGUCAGUAUAGAUCAAACAAAGAUGAAUCCUCUGACAGUGACUCGGACCAUUACCGAAAAGGUUCCCGCCAUGGCAGAGAUCGCCGUGAUAAAUCUCGAUCUAGAUCCCGCAGGCGCUCUAAAUCGCGCUCCAGGGACCGCUACAGCCGCCGAAGUAGCCGCAGGUCUGCUGAUAGAGAUAGAGAAAGAGAGCGUGAACGAGAACGCGCACGUGAGCGUGAACGUAGAUUCCGUGAACGUGCAAGGAGAGAAAGAGAGGAACGGCAGAGGAGAGAGGAAGAACGCAGAGAAAGGGAGCGAGAACGCCGUGAAAGAGAGAGGCGGGAGCGAGAAAGAGAGCAGCGUGAAAGGGAACGUGAGCGAGAACGCAGAGAGAGAGAAAGAGAACGUGAACGUGAGAAAGAGAAGGAAAAAGAGCGUGAAAGAGAAGCAGAACGUGAACGAGAACGAGCUAAAGCGGCAACCAGAGAUAGAGACAGGGAAAAAGAUAGAAAGGAUCGAGACCGUGAUGUUGAUAGAAAGAGGCGUAGAUCGUCUAGCCGACGUCGGUCAAGGUCAACCAGCCGUAGAUCAAAAUCAAAGAGCCCUUAUUCAAGGAGCCUAUCAAGAACACCAUCACCGUUUAAAAAGUCUGAAGAAAAGGAAGCAAAAUCUUCCAAGCAUGAUAAAUCCAGGGACCGUGACAGGAGCUCUGAGGGUAAAAGCACCUCGCGCAGGAAGUCGGAAUCACCUGAUCAUAGACGCCGUAGCAGUGAUGCACAUCAUAAAAAAUCAAAAGACUCCUCCUCUGAAUCAGAUGAUGAUGAUAAAUCAAAGAAAAAGAAAAAACGCAAGCAUGAAUCAAGUGACUCUGAGAAGUCUGAAGUCGAAAAGGUAAAGGAGAAGAAGAAAAAGAAAAGGAAAGAUUCAAGCUCUUCUGAAGAAGAUGAACCAGCAAAGAAGAAGCACAAGAAGGAUUCCUCUUCAUCUGAGCGUAGUGUGGAAAAAGCCUCCAAAAAGAAAAAGAAGAAGAAAUCAAAGGCCUCCAGCUCCAGCUCUGAGGAAAGUGAUGGUGAUGAGAAAAAGAAGAAAAAGGACAAGAAACAUAAGAAGCACAAGAAACACAAGAAGCACAAGAAACAUAAGAAACGCAAAGAGGAUGCAAGUAGUUCUGAUUCUGAUGUUGACUCAGAACCCUCUGAAGAACGUGAGCAGCGCCUUCGUGAAAAAGCUCUCAAGUCCAUGAAGAAGCAGAAGCAACAGAAGCCCUCAGAAGAAAGUGGCAGCUCAAGUGACUAAAAGCGGCUUAACAGUGUUCUCUCCCUUGAAGCCAUACAUCGCAGUUUGUUUCGCGCAGUGGUCACAGAUUUUUCCAGCAAGCGGUUUCCAGCUCUUCUCAUCCCUCAUCAGUUUUCGCCAACUGACAUCUAUUUCCGCUGACCUACAUGAGUCAUCAUUGCUUUCUCCGAUCUUCACUCAUCAGCAUCUUUACUCCUCUGCUGUAUGUACCCCAUCUCAACGAGGAUCUGACCUCCAUCAUCAUCUUCUUGCAUUUUCAUCCUGUUGCGGAAGUUCAUCUUUAUCUGUCAUCCACCCUGUUCCUGUUUCUGCACAUCCCAAGUCUCUUCAUUAUCCUCUGCGUGGCCAUGUGAAGGAAGUCUCUCACUUUUUAAGCGGAAUGAAGCAGCCUCUAUGGAAUCCUGAGUCUAUGACCUGCUGCAAAUGACUGGACAUGUGUUGAACCAAAAUUGUUUUCAGGUUUGCUGUUAAAGAGCCGAAACAACAUUAGAAGAGUUGGAAACCUUUGCUUGGAACUGUGUUCACACCUUCGGUCUUUUCGAAUUCACAAAGGAGGCGUAUUUUGGUGAGUUAGGACUGCCAAGUUCAGCAAAUUAUUUCUUCUCACAGCCGGGUACCAGUUUAUGUAUUAAUUGUAAUUCUACAUAUUUUAAUCACUUGAUCGUUUUAUUGAUAUUCUUAUCAGCUUCACAUUUUCUAGUAAAAAAAUAUCAAGUUGAUUUUGCCUCACUUUAAAGCAUAUGAAUUAAGUUUUGAUUGCAUUUUCUCCCUUUUUUUCUGUUCUGUACAAUCAACAAUUUGA
This is a non-coding RNA of Bemisia tabaci, 3472 nucleotides long. The record is from RefSeq and is a predicted model, not a curated record. Lineage: Eukaryota; Metazoa; Arthropoda; Insecta; Hemiptera; Aleyrodidae.